GGAAGUAGAAGUCGUAACAAGGUUUCCGUAGGUGAACCUGCGGAAGGAUCAUUACUGAGAACUUGCCCUUUGGGGUAGAUCUCCCACCCUCUGUCUACAUACUUUGUUGCUUUGGCAGGCCUGCCUCUGCGCUACUGGCCUCAGCUAGUUAGUGCCUGCCAGAGAAUCAAAACCCAGAAUCAUUUAUUGUCUGAGUAAUAUUUAAUAGUUAAAACUUUCAACAACGGAUCUCUUGGUUCUG
RNAcentral lists this unclassified non-coding RNA (241 nucleotides) under plant metagenome. RNAcentral describes it as "partial contains small subunit ribosomal RNA, internal transcribed spacer 1, and 5.8S ribosomal RNA". The stretch from base 1 to 54 matches the Rfam family "Eukaryotic small subunit ribosomal RNA", at positions 1778 to 1831 of the family's 1831-position model. The record is from RNAcentral.